AUGGGGGUGGAGAUGGAGAGAGCAAAAUCUGCCCCCAACCUGCUCUGUUGCCAUCCUAAGUGCCUUAUAAAUUUGUAAUCUUGUGGCUUUUAUUCUAUUUGGAUAUUCUUCCAGUUUCUACUUUAUGAUUUCCUUGUUCUGUGUUAGAAGAAAAAUGUAGUUUACAUGGCUUUGGUGGGAUCGUUUCCAUUUAACUCUUUCCUAUCAGGAGUACUUUCUUGUGUAGGAACUGCUGUUCUGGCUGUUUGUCUCCGGAUCCAAGUGAAUAAAGAGAAUAAGGAAUUCAAGGUAAAAAUACUUUUCUUGUUUAUUUGAUUUUUUAUUUGACAUUUAAAUUGAAAAAUCUGUUAUUACUCAUGUGAGUUGCAACCCAUGAUAUUUUUAGGUUUGCUUUCUUUUAUUCACCGUGUUAUAUUUCGACAAUGUGGCAAGAUGAUGUAGUUUCAAACUUAGAUCUCUACAUCUUUAACAUGACAAAACAAAGGAACAAGGAA
This is a non-coding RNA of Cajanus cajan (pigeon pea), 494 nucleotides long. Lineage: Eukaryota; Viridiplantae; Streptophyta; Magnoliopsida; Fabales; Fabaceae. The record is from RefSeq and is a predicted model, not a curated record.